This 71-nucleotide transfer RNA is filed under the name Fukomys damarensis (Damara mole-rat). It matches the Rfam family "tRNA". Rfam says of the family: Transfer RNA (tRNA) molecules are approximately 80 nucleotides in length. Their secondary structure includes four short double-helical elements and three loops (D, anti-codon, and T loops). The record is from Rfam by way of RNAcentral. Lineage: Eukaryota; Metazoa; Chordata; Mammalia; Rodentia; Bathyergidae.
AGGGAUGUAGCUCAGGGGUAGAGUGUUUGUCUACCACACAUGAAGCUCUGGGUUCUAUCCCCAGCACCUUA